UUUGACCUCAAAUCAGGUAGGACUACCCGCUGAACUUAAGCAUAUCAAUAAGCGGAGGAAAAGAAACUAACAAGGAUUCCCCUAGUAACUGCGAGUGAAGCGGGAAAAGCUCAAAUUUGAAAUCUGGCAGUCUUUUUUUUCUUCUUUGGCUGUC
Molecule: ribosomal RNA, 154 nt
Filed under: Amanita sp. 'ITAL01'
Lineage: Eukaryota; Fungi; Basidiomycota; Agaricomycetes; Agaricales; Amanitaceae
Description: Amanita sp. 'sp-ITAL01' partial 28S ribosomal RNA
Rfam family: Eukaryotic large subunit ribosomal RNA
Source: RNAcentral